Molecule: transfer RNA, 68 nt
Filed under: Staphylinidae sp. BMNH 1274234
Lineage: Eukaryota; Metazoa; Arthropoda; Insecta; Coleoptera; Staphylinidae
Description: tRNA-Trp
Source: RNAcentral
AAGGAUUUAAGUUAAAUAAACUCGUAACCUUCAAAGUUACAAAUAAAGAUUUCCUUCUUUAAGCCUUA